UGCAUUUUGAUGGAAGAGCUGGUGGCUGGUUUUGGCCUGACUGAACACAUCUGGAAGUGGGGCCACCUGUACAGGUACUGUGAGGGCAUCAGCUCUUCGAUUACCCUCAGCGAUGAACCCUGGCAGGCCCAGGGACUUCCAAGGUGGCAUCCUCUGAACCUUGUCUUCACGGAGCUCAAACCCUGCAACAACCAAAGAAUUGAUUGUUAGGUUAAGCGUGUGGCAAUCUCCAUAAGGAUUCCCUGCCGCACUCCCGUAUCCUGUACUUGAAGGUCCACUGCCCUGCAAAGUCGCUCAACGAACUAUGAACUUAAGGAAAGAUUCAGAGGGAAACUGAGUUAUAGACAGGGUCUGGUGAUGUCCUCAGACCUUGCACUGGCCACCAAACUGCCGCUGUGUCCACCCUGGA
Vidua chalybeata is the source of this 409-nucleotide long non-coding RNA. RefSeq lists it as uncharacterized. The record is from RefSeq and is a predicted model, not a curated record. The transcript has 4 exons. Lineage: Eukaryota; Metazoa; Chordata; Aves; Passeriformes; Viduidae.